This 555-nucleotide long non-coding RNA is filed under the name Selaginella moellendorffii. RNAcentral describes it as "long non-coding RNA (SMOE_LNC001807)". The record is from RNAcentral. Lineage: Eukaryota; Viridiplantae; Streptophyta; Lycopodiopsida; Selaginellales; Selaginellaceae.
AUAUAUAUAUAUAUAUAUAUAUAUAUAGCUGUCCAGAUGCAUAUAUAUAGAGAUACAGAUAGAUAUAUAUAUUUUUUUUUUCCCACACACACACAAAAACAAAAAAACUGAAUUUCUCUUUAUUUUAAAAAUAAAAAAAAAAAAAACAUAUACCCUCCCUCUUGCUCAAAAAAAAAAAAAAACACCCCUCCCUCUACACACAUAUAUUUUUUUUUUUCUUUUCUCCUCUCUAGCUAAUAAUUUUGAAAAAAAAAUAAACAUACCCCCUCCCACCUAUAACUUUCUUUUCCUCUUCUCUUUAACAAAAACAAAAAAAAAAAAACAUUGGUCCCUCUUUUUCACCCCCAAAAAAAUACCUAUUUUCCCACACCCAAACGUAAAAAAAAAAAAAAAAAAAAAGCAGGACAAAAAAAAAAAAAAAAAAAAAAAAAAAAAAAAAAAAAAAAAAAAAAAAAAAAAAAAAAAAAAAAAAAAAAAAAAAAAAAAAAAAAAAAAAAAAAAAAAAAAAAAAAGAAAAAAAAAAAAAAAAAAAAAAAAAAAAAAAAACAAAAAAAU